AGCUUGCAGUUUUGAGAACAUUUAGAGGCAAAUCGGUCAAACUAGCACUUCAGAAAGUGCCACUACAAGUGCAGAGCCUUCACUGUCACUCUUUAACGCUAACGGGCAACGAUAAACAGUUGGGAAAGAAACAAAGAAACCUUCGUACGUAUAUUUCCACAUUUGUCCUCGCCCACUCUACUUCAGAACCAAACCUCGCUAAAACCGAAAUGCAGGACUCGGCUUGUAAGCAGACAAUUGGAGGAAGAUUUCGGAGUGGAUUUAUCGGAUAGGAAACUAUUUAUUGCAGAGCAGGUGGAUUUAUUUCUUCAAAGCCAAUUUGAGAACGCUCAAGAAGACGACUGUGAAAACGAAGAGCAUGAUGAUGACGAUGAUAAUCAGACGGCUAAGGUCAAGUCUGAGAGAAGCGGCGCUUCUGAUGAGGAAGAGGUAGAAGAUGACGAAGAAGCAAGUAACCGAAAGGGUCCCGCAAAAAGACGGUUAGGUCUAAUGAGCUUAAUAAUGAGAUCAAGAAAAGAGGGGGCGGUUUUAGCAAAUUGUGUAGUCUCUCCCCAACUUCAGGAAUUUUUGGGGGUCCCGAACUGGCCAGAACUGAGGUUGUCAAGCAAACGUGGGCCUACAUUAGAGAAAAAGAUUUGCAAGACCCAAGUAAUAGACAAAAUAUGAUUUGUGAUGAACAGCUGCAUGCCCUUCUUGGUGUAGAUACAAUCAACAUGUUUCAAAUGAAUAAGGCCCUGUCUAAGCACAUUUGACCCUUAUAUUCAGUUGUUCAGACCAAGUCAACACCAAAGAAAAGCAUUGGAAGCAAGAGAGAGAAGAAGGUAGAACCAGAAAUUUUUGAUUACCAUUUAAUUUGAUGUGUUGUUGCAGAUGUCACUUCUUGUUGAAGCCAAAACAUAGUCAGAUUCUGAUCUAGUCAUCACCAUGUGUAUUCACUCAUUUCAUUUUGUCUCAUCACUCAGUUUCUUUCGUCCUUUUUUAAUUUGGAUUGAGAAUUAUUUCUUCUUUCCAUUUUCAGCUGUAUUUCAUAUGGGUUUGACUAGGUUAUUCAUUGAUUUUUUAAUUGACUCAAUCUUUUGUUA
Long non-coding RNA from Mangifera indica (mango), 1082 nucleotides. RefSeq lists it as uncharacterized. NCBI's taxonomy places the organism in Eukaryota, Viridiplantae, Streptophyta, Magnoliopsida, Sapindales, Anacardiaceae. The transcript is spliced from 4 exons. The record is from RefSeq and is a predicted model, not a curated record.